Molecule: long non-coding RNA, 326 nt
Organism: Manis javanica (Malayan pangolin)
Lineage: Eukaryota; Metazoa; Chordata; Mammalia; Pholidota; Manidae
Source: RefSeq, a predicted model, not a curated record
CGCUCCGUGGUCUCCUUCUGGGCCGCCCCACCCGGGUGGAUGGCGGACACCAUGAGGAUGCCCACAAUAACUGCCACGAAGGUGGUCCACAGGUAGUAUGCCACGAACAAGCAUGUCUUGCUUCUGUGAUGGAAAAUACAACCCCUUGAGUACUGGCAGCUACAGAAACCAUCAUUUGUCUGGAGCUAACUGUCCCCAAACACCUGAACAUCCACCUCAUCUGAUCCUUAACAUUCUAAGUCACCACUGCUGACUUGAGAGCCACAUUUGUCACUUUACAUUUCCUAGGAGUCACAUUAAAAAAGUAAAAAAAACAGUGAAAUUCA